GUUAAAUAUUUAUGUACACAGUGUGGAAGGUUUUCAGAAAAUACCAGAAGUUAACUCUCGUAUCUCUGGAAAUACUGAGAAACAGACGGAUAACCAUGGAUGAAGAAGCAUGGGUGCAAAGUGAUAACCUUUCAAGCUGGCAAGUCCCCAGAAAUUCAGUCCGAAUUGAUCCUGAAACUAAACCACAGGCCACCAUGCACUCCGCUGUUCUACCAGGCAGUGUUAUUGAUUAUCCAGAGGACGUACAGGAACAUCCUUCCUGUGUGAUUGAAAGCGUCGUGGAAGACACACCUGAGGAGGCACUUUUGUUAACAGACAGAGGGGGAAACUCAUGGUGGCACAAGCUUGGAAUGAAUAUAAACAAGUGGUCAUUUCUGAAUUCCUUGAUUGGAUGGAGUGAAGACAGAACUCAAGAAAAAGAUCAGUUUACCACAUCUGGAGUUUGUUCUGCUGCUGAUCACAAAGAAACUGAGUUGGAGGAAUGUGCAACCAAAGAAGUGCCAUACAUUCCAUACAGCUUAGCUACACUGCAUAUCAUCAAGAUUGUAAAAGACAUGCAGCAAAUGAAAAACAGACACAUGAAGAUAAUCAAAAAACUAGAUGAUAUAAGGAAAGAAAAGCAGGAGGAGACUGUAACUACUAUAAAGAAACAUUACAGUGAGAAAAUUAGGUGUCUGAAAUUCCAGUUAGAAGCUUACCAAGAGCUGAUGAACAAGAGCAACAUACACUGGCAAGAUACAGUUAAGAACUUGAGAGACAAAAACAGACAACUGACACAAGAGAAAGAAGAUCUUCUUUACCAAAUGAAACAAAGAACAGAGAACUGGAGAAAAGAAAAGGUCUGGAUUCUAGAAAAUUUGUGUAAAAAGCUAGAUUUCCUUUAUACACAGCACACACUAACUUUACAGGAACUACACAACAUCAGUUUACAUGUGGAAAGAUUGCAAGAUCUCAUGAAUUUCCAGAUAAAAAUUCAACAAAAGUCUGAAAAGGAAGAUGGAGAAAAUUCAGAUGUGUCAGAGGUUUUAGUAUUAAAAACAGACCAAAUAGCUAAUGAAGAGCAGAAGACUGUCUGGUCAGUGGAAAAGCGGUAUCUUUGGCAAGCACACACCAUCCUGCAGGAGAUACAAGAAUCUUUACACAAACGAGAGAGGGAAGUCACUGAGCUCUUAGAAAGUGAGAGAAGAUUUAACAAGGCAAUGAAACCUCAAGUGACAGUGUUAAUAUUCUUAAAAUCUCUUAUCAAGAUGGUUCACACCAUAUAUUGUGAUGUCCCUGGGGCACAGCAAUGCAUCCAUCAGCUUAUCAGGAAGAACAAGGAUGAAAGACCUGAUCUAGAAGAAGUUUUUAAUAAUGCUCAGGCUGAUAUUCUGUCCCAUGAAAUAUUUUGUGGAAAUGAACUUAUGGAGGAAACAAGACAGGAGAAAUCCCCAACUGGAUUAAAAGGGAUUGUCUAUGUGUAGCCUGGUCAGGUAAGAAAUCUUCCUGUCAAAUCACAGAAGUUUAACUAUCCUCACCCAACUUAUGUAACUUUUGAAUACAUAAAACAGCAUGCCAUGCCUUAAGGGUUUCCAUGCCACAUCUUCUAUUUUGUG
Molecule: long non-coding RNA, 1595 nt
Filed under: Taeniopygia guttata (zebra finch)
Lineage: Eukaryota; Metazoa; Chordata; Aves; Passeriformes; Estrildidae
Description: lncRNA (ENSTGUG00000024001.1)
Source: RNAcentral